Ipomoea triloba (trilobed morning glory) is the source of this 1895-nucleotide long non-coding RNA. RefSeq lists it as uncharacterized. The record is from RefSeq and is a predicted model, not a curated record. The transcript is spliced from 3 exons. Lineage: Eukaryota; Viridiplantae; Streptophyta; Magnoliopsida; Solanales; Convolvulaceae.
AAUUUUUUUUGGUGAAUAUUAAGCUAGAUAUGAUGAACGAAUGAUAGUUUUCUCUAUGCUUCAAAAAAAAAAAUAUUGGCUAGGUAGAACUGAGAUAAUUUUGACAUUAUUUUAUUUGGUGGAAUUUUGACGAAUUAUUUUCAGUAAAACGACGUAGCUCCGAUAUUUUGCUCACGCCAUCUCUGUCUCCCCGUUCCGCAAAGCAUCCAUUGAAUCCGUAAAAGCUUCAAUCGCUGAAGAACCCUAAACCUGAUCCUACAAAAGCUUCUGCUAGGUUUUCUCAAAGUAAUUACAGUAUUUCAUAUCACGAUGAAAGAAUGAUCAAACUUGAGGAGUUAAGGUUCAAACGAUUUGAGUGGAUUGGCGCAGUGUUCUUCAAAGUAUAUUAUAAUCGCGGAUCAUAGUUUUCAGAUGCGUGGACGAUAAAAUUGAAAAUUGAACAAGAGAUGAAGCUUCUUGCUCCCGUAAAUAGCGAAAUGGCAGAUGCAAUGAGCCUAAAAUUUGAUCAGGAUUGGGAAGAUUGCAGAACGGUUCUGGCGAUUUACCCUAAACACAAAAUUGUCUUUGUCAGAUUUUGCUUUACAAAAAGCUAGAACAUAUAACAGGUGAUGCUAGAAUAGAAAUUGUUUAAUAUUCUGGUGUUGCAUCAACAAGUAAUACUCUUAAAUGGAAACAUUUUUCAAAAGUGAAGCUGAUAGUGGAAUGGAGGAUGAUUUGAAAGAGUUUGAUGUAUUUGGGAUUAAGAUUGUGUCUGCUGUCAAUAGAUCACAAUUAUAUGUAUAUUUGGAAGAACCCGGAGUUGAUUGAAAGCAAAAUCCUCAUUUGUGUAUAUCUUGUGUAUAUAUAUGGCCUUCUUAAACUCUGAAGCUUGUGAAGAUUCUGAUGAUGAUCAAGCAAUUGCUACAGACAUUCAAGAGCUUGGUACUGAACUUUGUUGCCAUGCCAAUUAGAUUAACUGGUUUGUUCUAUCCUGUUAUGUAUUUUUUUGUCAUGACUAUACACUGAGACUAAUAUUGAUCGUGUCAAGUAGAAUCUUAAGGGGCACAUGCCUCGGACAUGAAGGUAGCUGCAUUCCCAUGCCUUGGACAUGAACGUAGCUGCAUUUCCAUGCCUCGGACAUGAAGGUAGCUGCAUUCCCAUGCCUUGGACAUGAACGUAGCUGCAUUUCCAUGCCUCGGACAUGAAGGUAGCUGCAUUUCCAUGCCUCGGACAUGAAGGUCGAGGCUGCAGUUCUUAGUAAAGGUGAGGUUCAGUACAGGCAGUGAACCAAGUUUGAGUUGAUAUUUGCUAGUGCAGUAAUGAAUUAUAUAAUUUAUGUUGAAUGCUCUGCUCCAUUUGGAUUGCCUGCCUGCUGCCUAGCUGCCAUCUAUUUGUUGUUUGGUGCAUUUAAGAUCGAACGGAUAUUGAAUCUGUGACCUCCAACUUAAGAUAUCGAUCACUAGACUACAAAAAGUCGUUUCCAGCUAUGUUUUGCCCACUUUUUUAAACCCACAGUUGUUUAUCCACACUUUAUCCAAUCUGUCCAUUUGACAACAGUGGAAUUAUUUGUUUGUGAUGCAAAAUUUAUCAAAUUUAUUCUUCUCUGUGUAUAUAUGCGGUUGUGAUAAGGAAAGAACAAGAUUUGAAGUUUCUGGGAAUGUAGGGAUCAUCCACUCACAGCCACACAUACCCAAUCUUACUUUCUUGGCAUCACCUUCUGGCUUAUCUUUCCCCCCAAUUUCCUUUUAGUGUCUUGGAACGUGCAAUAGAUUCUUAGCAUUAUGUAAAUGCUCUCAUUUUUUCGGCAAAUUAUUGUGUGGAUCAUGAAUAUAAUGUACAUUUUUAAUAUGCUAAAAGUAUAUUAUUUGUGCCGUGUGAACCAUGGUACAUGUAAUAAUGAUUGUAUUUUUUCAGCA